GAUAAAAUCAGAGGUCAGAUAUCUCAGACCAGACAUCAAGCACCACACAUUUCUUGCAGUGCACUGCAACUUAACAAUAGUGCUCAAUUAACUGCAAACUUAUACUUAUGUUUGAAAAAUAUUCUUCACCUUGCAUAACAAAACAAUAACAGGUGAUGGUAGAAACAUAUACUGUAAAUACCUACUGGCCUAAAGAACAGAAUUACACCCUGCUAAACCACAUAGAUACAUAUGCCAGCUAAGGUAAAAACUCUUCUGUAGUAUAGAGCAGUGAAUCUCAGCUGGUUUUGCUUCAGUGCCAAAAUAGUUUACUGUACAAAAGUAAGCAAAAACAUCCUUAAAAAAUAGUUAUAUUUAUUAAAAUUACAAUGAACUACAUUGGCCCAACAAUAUGCAAACUUAUUACCAUGACACAUGACAAUUUUGUAAAUGCAUUAACAAGAGCAGAAGUGUGAUUUAACAACCUCACACAUGGAACAAACACUGGGCCAAGUGUUAUAUUAGUAUUAGCCAAAUUACCAAGUGGCAGACAAAUUUGCACGCAAAAUACCAUAGUUUGAUAAGAUGCACAACCUUUCACGUUAACAACAAAUGAAAUGCAGGACUGCCAACUCUCAUGCACUGAGCGUGAGAGUCAAGCAAUUGACACUCAUUCUCACACUCUCAUGCCACACAUCCAUUUUCUCAUGCAGUGAUAACGUCAUGGAGCAAAGAGGACACUGACAGCGCACGGACAGACAAGACAGAGCAGGCAGCACCAUGCAGCAGCGAGUUAUUCAGACCAAUCAGGGGGAAAGCAGCAGCACAGUGUCUCCCCCUCUCCAUACUCUUGUAAAAUAUGAGCAAUAACAAUAAAAUUAUUAUGUUGACUCCUCAUGAAAAGGAUUAGGGGUGCACCGAUAGAUCGGCUACCAAUCAAAAUCUGCCGAUCUUCGUCUUAAAUCCGUGAUCAGCAAUCGUGCCUAGAAUCAGGGCCGAUAUUUUUUGCAGCAUGCAAGGAAUCACACAUAUACAGCUACCCUAAUGAAUGAGUGCUUUCUCAGCUCUUGAUGCAUGGCAGUGUGGCCUCUGGAGGGUGAAUUGCUGGCAAUUCUUAGCUUUCAGACAUUAUGUAAUUCACAUGAAUAUACCAUUUUGUUUUUAAAAAUGUGUAAGAAUUACACAUGUAUGAAUAUUAAGUUGCACAUUUUCUAGAGUUAUUAUGGUUAUUCUGACUCGUUGCACAGUGAGCAGGAAGAGGAUAAAGAGGCUACUAACAGGUAUAAAAAUGAAUUAAACAACAAAUAAUCAUACGUAUACAAAUCUGAGUAUACCUGAUGUAACGCAAGUCGUGACAAUCAGACAUGUGGAGCGAUAAAGGCUGUUUGAGCGAUCGUGAGCACUUUUAGCUUUACAGACCUUUUUCACACUCUGGGUUUUGGAACGCGGAAGUAAACGUUUGCAGGGUAAACUUCAGCAGCGUUGAAUGGGAGUGAAUGGGAGAUCACAGCAAAUAUUAUUUUCACUUACCCAUUUGCUCCAAGACCAAAAGAAAAAAUCCACUAUUACGUUUGAAUGACUUUCCCAAAGAGGAAAAAAAAUAGAGAGCGGUGGAUUGAGACUGUCACUCUCUCAGCAGCUGUAAUCGAAACCCCCUCGCAGCUGUGGUAAUUUUUAAAACCAAUACCAGGGCAAUAUAACACAAAGUAUAAUGUUAUAAAGUUACUCAAUAUUUAAAAAAUUGAUAGUAUAAAAAAAGUUUGCUAGAUUUAAGCUGCUAAAUAAGGCUGAAACGCAUCAUCACAAUCUGAAAAUCGUCUACUCUCUUUAACAUACUCACAGUGUCAAUCAAACAUGCGUGCUCUGCAGGUGCUCUCAAUAUCUCAUCAUCAGUCACUCAUACCAGCGCUAUUCUGUGAGGAUCACAAUUUAAUCAGAUUAAUGUGGGUCAUAGUACCACUAAUCAAGGCCGUAACCAUGUCGGGGGGAGAGAGACCAAACCAUUUGGGUGUUGAGGUCACAAAUAUAAUUGUCCUCUUUGGUCCUUUAAAAUAGUAAAGGCUCUGAAUGCAAUAAUUUUCUGAAUAAAGGCUUUUAAUGAUUUUUGGUUUUAAAAGAUACAUUCCCUUACAAAACCACCCUACAUGAAUUCUGCAGGAUGUUUGCAGGUAUCCUGCUGGAAUGAUGAAAUCCUGCAGGACACAUGGACAAACUGUGCAGGAUAUUCCUUCAGGUUUUAGAAUGGAACUUUAAAAACCACAGAGACAUGCAGGAAUAGCCAGCACACUUCCUGCAUGGGAGAAAAAUCCUGCAGGAUUUUGUAUUUCUUCAGGACAACUGCAAACCUCCUGCAGGAAUAAAAUAGGGUUCUAAAAGGUUUAAUCGAUCCUGCAGGAUUUAGUCAUUUCUACAGGACAACUACAAACCUCCUGCAGGAAUAAAAUAGGGUUCUAAAACGUUUAAUCGAUCCUGCAGGACGCCUGCGUAUUUCCUGCAGGAAUAAAACAGUAUCCUAUGGGAUACACAGGAGGACACACUGAUGUAAUAACUGUAAUAACUUAUAUUUACACAGUUGUUAUAUGUAAAAGUUCCUGAAUGUCUUUUAAUCUUGAUAAAGUAAAUGUUACUGAUGUGUGAUGUUUGUUAAAUAUUUUAAGUAAAAUAUGUGUAGUUUUGUGGAGUUAAAUCUGUUACAGAGUUAACAAAGGCUGACAGCUUUACGUUUGAAAUAUCAAAACCUGUUUUAAGACUUUACAUUUGAAAGAAGCCUUGUAUGUUGUUAACAAAAUACAUUUGUUUUGUUAUGUGUUUUCAAUGGUCCUAAGUGAUGUUAAAAUACUUUUGAUUACCUCAGGAAGUAAUCUGGAGCAAAUCUGGAUGUGAAAGAGUACUAGAUGAUCUACAGAGUAUCAUCAAAGCCAGAAAAAAAACAGUGAAAAGAUGUUGGGCUUUCAGCCACACCAUUAUGGACAAGAUGGCAGAUUGUGAAUCUCAUGGAAAAAAGACACAUUGGACAGUCAUUAAGGAAAUUAAUAAGCAAAAAUGAAGGAAAAGGCAUGGAUGGAUGAUGGGCACUACUCCUGAUGUUGCUUUAACAAUGCAAAAAGCACUUACCAAUUUGCUUGAAGUGAAAAUCAGUCCUCCUUUCCUGUUUAAUUAAUCAAUCGCACGAUCAUGCAGGUUUUUAUAUCCAUAAGGAUCUCUUUCUCAAUGGUAAUAACAGCAGUGACGGCCAACUCGUCAGCAUCUCGUGCUCUUCGCUUUCAAAUUAGGUACAUCACUUAAAGCGUGAUUGCGUCACUCAAGGCCAGCUAGAAGGCCUGGACUGGGAUAUGUCCUAAAGAUCACACCCACCAAGAACAAAUAAAUCAAUCUGAUUGGCUGAUGAAUCUGACAAUCUGACUUUAGAUGCCCAUUCACUGCACUGUUGAGGGAUUCUGCAGAAAUUAUGAAGGCCUGACAGGGUGGAGCUCAGACUUACGCACUGCUUUGGCUAAGGAGCUCGGCUUCAGGCAUGCGAUUUGUGAAACAGUUGUCACACUUUGCUUGUAAGCAUCGAGGAAUAAAUUCUAUUUGGAUAAACUUUUUGUUUUAUGCUAUUCAUUUGUAGAUGAAUUAGGGGUGGAAAGCAAUUGAAAAUACAUAAAAAGGUCAAUAAGAAUGAAAGGAUGAAACAAUAUUUAUUAGGCAUGUUACGCCAGCAGAGAAGGCUUUGCUGGCCCUGAGUAAUCGCCACUGCAUUACAAUAUCAUGAAAUAUUCAUAUAGUAAUCAUUCGGUACCAUGGUAUUACCCUGGUAAUACCACAGUGCUUCAAAGUCUUCAAAUCUUUUUCUUAUCUCAUCACUCUUCUCUAAACUUCCAUCUCUGCUCCUUCACUUCAUCCUGUCAUCUUUGCUGCUUCCUCUCUGACCUCAUCAUCCUCUUUAUACAACUGACACUUUUAAUAGUACUUCGUCUUCAUUUCCUUUCAUAUUAAUAUGUUAUUUUACUAAAAUUCUGGCAUUAAUACUAAGGAAUGUCAGAAAUGAGAGUUGUAUGCGAUGUCGGAAAAACCAAUCGAGUUUUAUUCUUUUGAUGAAUGUACACUACAAUACAUAGAGUGGACUUUUUAUCUGACCUGUUACUCUCUGAGGCAAGGCCACUUCGAUGUUCUGGGGCAAAUUCCAAACUGCAUUUUUGUCCCUUGAAGGGCACUGCUGUGGGAAGGGGACACGCCUCGAAAGCAUGUUCCAAAUGAAAGUGAGAAAUCAAGUCUUUUCUCGAAGGCGCCCCUGCAGCACCCUUUCCGUGCACGCCACUGAAACCUAUUACCACCUAAAAACUUAUAUAUUUUACACUGUUACGAUCUCAUCUCUCACCAUUUUUCUGAUCUAUUUUUCAAAGUUGUCAGCAAUAUUGUCCUUUUUCUUAGCUUGUUUAAUUCUCUGUUUUCUAGGUGUGACUGACUGAGCUGCUUGGGAUCUUAACAGAUUAUGUCAUCCAUUAUGACAACAUUUCCAUAAAUAAAAUUAUACAUUAGUAAAAAUGGACUAUUUGUGAGUUUGAUUCUCCAGGAGGAAAUCAAAUCCUGCAGGAUACCACCCAAAUAGUUCCUGUAGAAAACUACUGCACAGUGUGUAUGGUUUAAUUUGGUUUAAUGGUUAAAUGGAUUUGAAAUCCACCCUGCACAAUAUUCCUGCAGGGAAUAAAGGUGUUUUAAUGACCUGUAAGACAAUUCCUGCAGGACAGAAUACCUGCAGAAAAUUAUUUCCAUUCCUUCAUAAUAUUCCUGCAGAAUUUCUACAGGAAAAUGAGCUGAAAAUCCUGUAGGAUUCCUGAAGGGUUUAAGGUUUUUUUUUUUUUUUUUCCACACAGAUGUUCACACAGUACAAGACUACUACUGUGUCUACAUUGCAAGCAAUUUGCCUGUUUUAGUCAUCUUUUCUUUUUUGUGCUGUAUCAAAGGAAAGAUGAAUAUAAUUUGAAUUUCUUUUCAUCACUGAUGUAUCUGUAAAAUGACAUGACUGUGUCAGCUGGCUAGCAAAAAGAAAAACACAAAAUUAUUAACUGCCAUCAAGUUGUCCCUCAUUGGGUUUUUUCCCCAGUAGAAUCUUAACACAAUCUUUUCUUCGAGAACCCGAACGCUGCUCUUUUCCAUACAAAAAACUGUUCAUAUUGAGCACUACUGUCAAGCUCAAAAAAACAAAACAAAAAUAUUAUUAUUUAUUAAUAUACCAUAAAAGUAGUCCAUACAACACAAAGCUGUUAUGUGGCCCCAGAAAGCUUGGAAUAUAGUGCACUUGUAAUAUGGACUACUGUUAUGAUGUCUUUAUACUGAACCUUUAAUAGUGUUUUAUAGUAUUUGUCCUUUUUGAAGCUUAACAGCUCCUGCUCACUAUAAACUAUUAUUAUAUGGAAAAAUAUUACCUAAUAAUAUUUGCAUUAAAUAUAUAUGACACUGUCCUUGCCACAACCUAAAAACUCAAUUGAAGCCACAAGUCACAGGUCUUACCAUGUUCUAGUUUUAAUCUGAGGGUGAAAACGCUCUACUUUGUGUUACAGAUCAUUUUCUAAGACAAUAUCAAGUGAAUUUUCAAAAAAGGUACUUCAGAAACUUACCAGAUAACCACAUUAAUUCAAUUCCUUUACAAUAUACACACAUUCGCUCUUUGACUUAAGCCUGAUAUGCUGAAAAAGGCUCCGUUAAUGUUAUCACAUUCAAAAUUAUGAAUGACAUACGUGGCAUAUUUUUAAUUAAAAAUGGCAAAUUUUUCCAAAGGGUGAAUAGUUUGCACCACUGGAAAUUACUGUUGGUCUGUACAACAUUUCAAUCAUAAAAUAGUGGGGAAAUAUUGCAUGUUUAGUUAUAUACUGACAUCUUACAUGACACUAAAACACUUAACCUGAACUGUUGACACUGAUGCGUGUGUUCUGCAUGGCGCUUGAAUAAUCCACAAGGUUCCUGCUCAGCUUCUUACAUUUGAGUCCAGCCUUCAUCAAUUUGAUUGGCUAUCUCAAAUUACAUUGACGAGCGGUGUUAGACUACUGUGCAGGCUAAAAAUUUAACUUUUUAAAACCAUUAUGUUAUUCCUGCAACAAUUUAAUGACAAUUAAACAGCAGUGCAUAAUGAACUGCAGCAGAACAGCAACAAGUAUAUCAAUUAUUUGGGGGACAAUCUGGCCAUAUCUGAUUAUUGGGGGGGACUUGUCCCCCUCAGUGUAUAUUGUGGUUACGGCCCUGCCACUAAUAAUAGAUAUAACUGUUUAACCUUCAAUAACGGCACCGCGUCUUCACGCAUUUGCUUAAUAAUUAGUGAUUUGUGUUACAGCAAAACGCCAAAGGCAGUAAACAAAUCAGAUAUGAAUGAUUCUCAAUGGAGCAGUUUAUUUUUUAACGUAUCUCUGCUGUGUGUGAUGCUCUCAUGAUUUUUACUGGUUGCCAGUAUGUCACAAUGACCUUUGAUAUUGACAGAAUGAUUCAUAACUGUUUCCAUACAAAUAAAUGUUGGCAAUUCACAAUUAAUGUAAUUUUGGUAAUACUUUAUAAAAAGGUUUCAUUUCUUCAACAUUAGUUAAUGCAUUAGGUAUUAUGAAAAAAGUUAACAAUAUUUUUACAGCAUUUAUUAAUCAUAAUGUUAGUUAAUAAAAAUACAAUUGUUCAUUGUUAGUUCAUGUUAGUUCAUAGUGCAUUAAUGUUCACUAAUACAACUUUUGAUU
Molecule: long non-coding RNA, 6677 nt
Organism: Myxocyprinus asiaticus (Chinese sucker)
Lineage: Eukaryota; Metazoa; Chordata; Actinopteri; Cypriniformes; Catostomidae
Exons: 3
Source: RefSeq, a predicted model, not a curated record